UACGAAGGGGGCUAGCGUUGCUCGGAAUCACUGGGCGUAAAGCGCAUGUAGGCGGCUUUUUAAGUCAGGGGUGAAAUCCUGGAGCUCAACUCCAGAACUGCCUUUGAUACUGAGAAGCUUGAGUCCGGGAGAGGUGAGUGGAACUGCGAGUGUAGAGGUGAAAUUCGUAGAUAUUCGCAAGAACACCAGUGGCGAAGGCGGCUCACUGGCCCGGUACUGACGCUGAGGAGCGAAAGCAUGGGUAGCAAACAGG
RNAcentral lists this ribosomal RNA (253 nucleotides) under uncultured bacterium. Its description in RNAcentral is "partial 16S ribosomal RNA". It matches the Rfam family "Bacterial small subunit ribosomal RNA", at positions 524 to 776 of the family's 1533-position model. The record is from RNAcentral.